UUCUCAAUAGCUCAGCGGCAGAGCAAACGGCUGUUAACCGUAAGGUCGCUGGUUCAAAUCCAGCUUGGGAAG
Molecule: transfer RNA, 72 nt
Filed under: Botryococcus braunii
Lineage: Eukaryota; Viridiplantae; Chlorophyta; Trebouxiophyceae
Description: tRNA-Asn
Rfam family: tRNA
About the family: Transfer RNA (tRNA) molecules are approximately 80 nucleotides in length. Their secondary structure includes four short double-helical elements and three loops (D, anti-codon, and T loops).
Source: RNAcentral